GAUUUCUGGUACUGUGGGGCUUGUCCGGGCCUUCGGGUUUCGUGUACAAGUUUCUACUUACCAUCCUUCCAGAUAAUGCCUGUGCCGUCAAAAGUGCAGUCACAUCUGGAUCUUUUACUUUGAAAAAAUUAGAGUGUUUAAAGCAGGCUUACGCUAUGAAUACAUUAGCAUGGAAUAAUGAUUUAGGACUUUUGUCCUUUUGUUGGUUUUCUAGGAUGAAAGUAAUGAUUGAUAGGGAUAGUUGGGGGUGCUAGUAUUUCGUCAACAGAGGUGAAAUUCUUGGACCGACGAAAGACUAACUUAUGCGAAAGCAUU
RNAcentral lists this ribosomal RNA (315 nucleotides) under uncultured Cercozoa. Its description in RNAcentral is "bacterial SSU rRNA". The stretch from base 38 to 315 matches the Rfam family "Eukaryotic small subunit ribosomal RNA", at positions 675 to 955 of the family's 1831-position model. The record is from RNAcentral. Lineage: Eukaryota; Cercozoa.